Molecule: ribosomal RNA, 37 nt
Filed under: Atalantia buxifolia
Lineage: Eukaryota; Viridiplantae; Streptophyta; Magnoliopsida; Sapindales; Rutaceae
Description: partial 26S ribosomal RNA
Source: RNAcentral
UUGCGACCCCAGUCAGGCGGGAUUACCCGCUGAGUUU